Poeciliopsis prolifica (blackstripe livebearer) is the source of this 541-nucleotide long non-coding RNA. RefSeq lists it as uncharacterized. The transcript has 3 exons. The record is from RefSeq and is a predicted model, not a curated record. NCBI's taxonomy places the organism in Eukaryota, Metazoa, Chordata, Actinopteri, Cyprinodontiformes, Poeciliidae.
AACCUUUUCACCAGGUCCUUGAAAUACAAGCUGCAGGAAGCUAGAACAUUUUGGUGGACUUCAAACUCUUUGCCUUCAACAAUAAUUUUCAGGUUUCCCUCUCUCUCUGCGUGAUGAAUCCAUACAUCAAGAGUUUCACUUUUUUAGCUCAAUUGCUAAUGUUACUAACGGAGCAUUUCAGGGGGUUGCAAACAAGACCGAAAACUGGAGCUGAGCAACUGCUGCUGCCGUGGAAGCCUAAUGUAACCACAGCAGAAGUUCCUGCAAAAGAUUUUCUUAAAAGGGCAAGAAGAGGAAGACCUUACCAAAAGCAGACAAAAAAAAAGUUUGUACUGUAUGUAGAUAAAAACCUGCUUUUGUUCAUUCAAUUGAAUAAAAUGAAAAUGGAAAAAAAGCUUUGAAGCUCAAAAAGUUUGAAGUUGUGGGUGGCUUGAAGGCAGCUGUGUUGGGCCUUCUCGCUCGGCCUUCGGACUGAGGCAUGUACUGGCGUCCGAUUAUGGGUGUGAGAAAAUGUCAGCUAGCUGCCCAGCUCGUCUUUCAC